Molecule: ribosomal RNA, 465 nt
Filed under: Vreelandella stevensii
Lineage: Bacteria; Pseudomonadati; Pseudomonadota; Gammaproteobacteria; Oceanospirillales; Halomonadaceae
Description: partial 16S ribosomal RNA
Rfam family: Bacterial small subunit ribosomal RNA
Source: RNAcentral
CCUACGGGAGGCUGCAGUGGGGAAUAUUGGACAAUGGGGGGAACCCUGAUCCAGCCAUGCCGCGUGUGUGAAGAAGGCCCUCGGGUUGUAAAGCACUUUCAGUGAGGAAGAACGCCUGGUGGUUAAUACCCAUCAGGAAAGACAUCACUCACAGAAGAAGCACCGGCUAACUCCGUGCCAGCAGCCGCGGUAAUACGGAGGGUGCGAGCGUUAAUCGGAAUUACUGGGCGUAAAGCGCGCGUAGGUGGCUUGAUAAGCCGGUUGUGAAAGCCCCGGGCUCAACCUGGGAACGGCAUCCGGAACUGUCAAGCUAGAGCGCAGUAGAGGAGGGUAAAAUUCCCGGUGUAGCGGUGAAAUGCGUAGAGAGCGGGAGGAAUACAAGUGGCGAAGGCGGACGUCUGGACUGACACUGACACUGAGGUGCGAAAGCGUGGGUAGCAAACAGGAUUAGAUACCCCAGUAGUC